This is a long non-coding RNA of Passer domesticus (house sparrow), 633 nucleotides long. RefSeq lists it as uncharacterized. Lineage: Eukaryota; Metazoa; Chordata; Aves; Passeriformes; Passeridae. The transcript is spliced from 3 exons. The record is from RefSeq and is a predicted model, not a curated record.
AGAAAGUUUUUGUCAUGGCCUUGGAGCUGUGCUGUUCAUCUGCUGUAAGAAUGAAAAAAGUGAUGGUCUUACUCUCCUAACAGACAUAAAAAUAAAAGCAGUUUCAAGUUCCCUUUGUUGCUCCAGACUGAACUAGAUGGGACCUUGUAGCAACUGUCACAAAAAGUCAGAAUGCUGGAAUUAAAGGAAAGAAAAGUGAGGGAGGAGAAAGUAUUCUUGUGACCUAAUGCAGAACAGCAAACAGAGAAGACAGCAGGGAAAAUUCCACCCUGUGAGGGAUGCCCAGCUCAUUCUGCCCUCUGGAGUGCCAGCAGACACAGCACAGUGCCUCACCAGAGGCAGCAAAUUCCCUGGAAAACUGCAUUUGGGAACCUGUGCAGCCAGGAGCAGCUGGAAUAAGAGUCUGGACAAGGAAACUUGGCCCUCUCUGAAUCUGGGGGACACUUUGCUGGCAAGAAAAGCCAAAUUUGGCUGCUUUGUGUCUCAAACAUGUGAGAUGGCUACAACAGGAAAAGUAUCAAUGUCACCUUACAAAGCUCCUCAUCUGCUAAGAAGAAAAAAAAAGAUUAUUAGAACUGACAUAGGACCUGGCUUUUCAAAGCUAUUCUAUUUCUUGUAAGUAUUUUUUAUUGA